This 351-nucleotide unclassified non-coding RNA is filed under the name soil metagenome. RNAcentral's name for it is "partial contains 5.8S ribosomal RNA, internal transcribed spacer 2, and large subunit ribosomal RNA". The stretch from base 1 to 120 matches the Rfam family "5.8S ribosomal RNA", at positions 35 to 154 of the family's 154-position model. The record is from RNAcentral.
GAUGAAGAACGUAGCGAAAUGCGAUAAGUAAUGUGAAUUGCAGAAUUCAGUGAAUCAUCGAAUCUUUGAACGCACAUUGCGCCCGCCAGUAUUCUGGCGGGCAUGCCUGUUCGAGCGUCAUUACAACCCUCAGGCCCCCGGGCCUGGCGUUGGGGAUCGGCGGAAGCCCCCUGUGGGCACACGCCGUCCCUCAAAUACAGUGGCGGUCCCGCCGCAGCUUCCAUUGCGUAGUAGCUAACACCUCGCAACUGGAGAGCGGCGCGGCCAUGCCGUAAAACACCCAACUUCUGAAUGUUGACCUCGAAUCAGGUAGGAAUACCCGCUGAACUUAAGCAUAUCAAUAAGCGGAGG